Molecule: ribosomal RNA, 707 nt
Filed under: Pristimantis bogotensis (Bogota robber frog)
Lineage: Eukaryota; Metazoa; Chordata; Amphibia; Anura; Strabomantidae
Description: partial small subunit ribosomal RNA
Rfam family: Bacterial small subunit ribosomal RNA
Source: RNAcentral
GCCCAAAACAUCUAGCUACGCCACACCCAUAAGGGUUCUCAGCAGUGAUCAACAUUAAAAAUAAACGUCAGUUUGAUUUAGCUAAAUAACAAAGAGUCGGCCAAUCUGGUGCCAGCCGCCGCGGUUACACCACGUGACUCAAAUUGAUUUUAGCACGGCGUAAAGAGUGAUUAAAGAGACAACUUUUGGGGUCAAAAUUAAACUAAGCUGUCGCACGAUUGUUCUUAAGAAGCCCUAUCUCGAAAGAUACCCCAACUCACCAACUUGAAUUCACAACAACUAGGACACAAACUGGGAUUAGAUACCCCACUAUGCCUGGUCGUAAACUUUAACUUACACUAUAUCGCCAGGGAACUACGAGCAAAGCUUAAAACCCAAAGGACUUGACGGUACCCCAUAUCCUUCUAGAGGAGCCUGUCCUAUAAUCGAUACUCCACGUUUAACCUCACCAUUAUUAGCUCAUCAGCCUGUAUACUUCCGUCGUCAGCUUACCGCGUGAGCGAACAGUAAACUCAAUGUCACUCAUCAAUACGUCAGGUCAAAGUGCAGCAUAUAAAAUGGCAAGAGAUGGGCUACACUCUCUACCUUAGAAGACACGAAAGAUUAUGUGAAACCAUAUUCAGAAAGUGGAUUUAGCAGUAAGGGGAACUAGAAUACUCCCCUUAACUCGGCACUGGGGGUGUGUACACACCGCCCGUCACCCUCUU